AAAGGAAUUAGCAUCAAUUUGAAUGUUGUCUACAGUGCCCUCUUCUCUGGGAGCUAUUUUUCCACUUUCCUUUAUUUUUAUUUUUUUAUUUUUUUAACUACUUACAGGAAAGAGACAAUUGUUUUUUUUCAAGACAUGUUCUGGUUGGACAAGCGAGUAAAGAAGUCCACAGCACCCUGCCUGUGAGGGAAGACUGAUAACACACUUUUCAAAGCGUGCAAAACAUUUGUUUGAACCCAGGUCUUCACUGGAAGUCAGAUUACGAGUUGCAGAAUUUCAAUUUUGAGUCAUCUUCCAGGAGAUAUAGAACAGCUUUCUGAUCAGUGUUCCCAACACAUCCUUACCUCUCUCAAGAUUUUGUUGUCAACUAACUUGCUACCAUGGAAUCACAAAGGAUUUCAGCUGAAUCAGGAAAUCAAGAUGAACUUUGCCACAUUGCUACAAACAUAAAAUCACUAGAGCAGUAGGGCAUGGUGAGGACCCUGCAUGUGUCCUGGGAAACUUAAGGGAAAUGAACCUCAUCAUCUAAUGGUAAGUUUGUUUUAAUCUGAGAGUAUACAUUGUUGUUUUCCCUCCUAUCUCUAUUUUUGAUUCAUUAU
This 599-nucleotide long non-coding RNA is filed under the name Vulpes vulpes (red fox). RNAcentral's name for it is "lncRNA (ENSVVUG00000014325.1)". Lineage: Eukaryota; Metazoa; Chordata; Mammalia; Carnivora; Canidae. The record is from RNAcentral.